RNAcentral lists this ribosomal RNA (253 nucleotides) under uncultured bacterium. RNAcentral describes it as "partial 16S ribosomal RNA". It matches the Rfam family "Bacterial small subunit ribosomal RNA", at positions 524 to 776 of the family's 1533-position model. The record is from RNAcentral.
UACGGAGGGGGCUAGCGUUGUUCGGAAUUACUGGGCGUAAAGCGCACGUAGGCGGAUUCUUAAGUCAGAGGUGAAAGCCCGGAGCUCAACCCCGGAACUGCCUUGGAUACUGGGAGUCUCGAGGAUGGAAGAGGUCAGUGGAAUGCCGAGUGUAGAGGUGAAAUUCGUAGAUAUUCGGCGGAACACCAGUGGCGAAGGCGACUGGCUGGUCCAUUUCUGACGAUGAGGUGCGAAAGUGUGGGGAGCAAACAGG